RNAcentral lists this ribosomal RNA (263 nucleotides) under uncultured bacterium. RNAcentral's name for it is "partial 16S ribosomal RNA". It matches the Rfam family "Bacterial small subunit ribosomal RNA", at positions 793 to 1055 of the family's 1533-position model. The record is from RNAcentral.
GUCCACGCCGUAAACGAUGGGCACUAGGUGUCGGAGGUGUCGACUCCUCCGGUGCCGAAGCUAACACAUUAAGUGCCCCGCCUGGGGAGUACGGCCGCAAGGCUAAAACUCAAAGGAAUUGACGGGGACCCGCACAAGCAGCGGAGCAUGUGGUUCAAUUCGACGCAACGCGAAGAACCUUACCUGGGCUUGACAUGUAGGUGACAGCCGUGGAAACACGGUCUCCCUUCGGGGCACCUUCACAGGUGGUGCAUGGCUGUCGU